This 7071-nucleotide long non-coding RNA is filed under the name Brassica rapa (field mustard). RNAcentral's name for it is "long non-coding RNA (BRAP_LNC000623)". The record is from RNAcentral. Lineage: Eukaryota; Viridiplantae; Streptophyta; Magnoliopsida; Brassicales; Brassicaceae.
GCAGUUCAUACGAUCACAUAUUUACAUAAUCAAGUAAGUACGAAAAGAACACAAAAAAACCAAAAUAUGAAAGGUUUCUUUGGAGUUGUUAUGUUUCUGUUCUUAUUUAUUACGGUAUCUUUAGCCAGUCGCAAAAGUUUAACAAGUAUUGGAUCGAAAAGACUAGUUCCAGGAGGUCCAGACAAUGCGACAUCUCCAUCUAAUCCACCAGCGUUUGUAACUGAUAUUGAAAUAAAGAGACUAGUUCCAGGAGGUCCAGAUAAUGCGACAUCUCCAUCUAAUCCACCAGCGUUUGUAGCAAAUAUUGAAAUGAAAAGAAAAGUUCCAGGAGGUCCGAACAAUCAGACAUCUCCACCUACCCCACCAUCUUUUUAGUGGAUAUAUAUUUUAAAAGUUCAAUAAAUUAAUAAUCACAAACUUUCUGUCAAUCUAAUCUAAUAUUGGUUUAGUUAUGAUUUUUUCAAAAAAAUAAAAAAUAAAAAUAAUAAGUAUUUUUUCUAUACACUAUAUUGUUCAUAUAAAAAAAAUGCUGAAUGUGAAAUAUAUAAUUUUGAAAAAAAAAUCCUAAUACCAUUUUUUAGAAAGAAUCCUAAUAGCAUUUGAUUAAUUGCUUACCUGACUUUCCGAAGAAAUCAUAAUAUUAAAAACACUGAAGUACACACCACUAAAAAUAUUUUUUCUGUGUGAAAAAGACCAUCACGUGAACAGACACAUCUAUUCAUUCAAGAUCCAUCAUUUCUCCUCGAGUGUUCCCAUCGCCAAUCAACAACAGUUUUCUUAGACUAUAAUAAAUGUUAAUUUGGCAUUUAUUGAGGAGUGGCUAAAUAUAGUCUACUUUGUGCCUUUGUUUUUCUCUUGUGAUCAAAGUGUCAACAAAUACAUUCAUCUGUUUUUGUUACUCAUGGCAGACAAAUUACAAAAAGAUGCAAGAAAUUACGUUGAGUAUCAUUGAUAAAGACAUUACUUUACUCGACGAUUUAUGCGAAGAUGCAUCAGAGGAGAACGGCUAGGGGUGUCAAAACAGAUAAAAACUAAUGGGUCGAUCAGGACCAAUCCAAACCACGAAUUUUAAUGGAUAGAAAAAUUGGGUACAAAUGGAUUAAUGGGUAAAUGAGUUAAUGGACUUAAAUGGUUUGGAUUGUAAUGGAUAAUGAGUUAUUCAUAACCAAAUCAAUAAAAAUCUAUAACAAACCUAACAUCAAAUCAAAUAUAUAUAUAUAAAAAAGUAACCAAACCAAAUUUUUAAACCAGUUUACUACACCAAAUUCUAUUUACUUUUCACAUGUACAACGAAAUUACAAUAACCUAAAUCUCACUUAAUCAUAACUUUUUUUAUGUUAAAACCCAAUUUCUCAUAUAUAUAUGUGGGGUUUUAGAAGUUAAAUCAUAUUUUUUUGCCAAAUACAUAAAAUAUUUUUUUUGACAAAACUAAAACUUGAUUUUUUCCAUCAAAAGCGCUAAAUCUCUUCUUUUUUUUUGUUGUCAAAAUCGUAAAAUUGUGUGUUUUCACCAGAUCCACAAAAUCAUGUAUUCCUGCAAAAACUGCAAAAUCAUGUUUUUCUGUCAAAAUCGAAAAAUCGUUUUUUCUAGCCAAAACCGAAAAAUUGUGUUUUCUCGCAAAAAUCGCAAAAUUGGGUUUUCCUGCCAAAACCACAAAAUUGAGCUUUCCCUCCAAAACUGCAAAAUUGUGCUUUCCCGCCAUGACCAUAAAAUCGAGUUUUCCCACAUAAAAUGUAAAUUGAGUUUUCUCACCAAAAACCGCAAAUUUGUGUUUGCCAGCCAAAACCGUAAAAUUGAGUAUUUUUGCAAAAUGUUAAACUGAACGUUCCCUCUUAAACUGUAAAAUCUUUUUUUUCCUGUCAAAACAAUAAAUUAAAGCUUUCCGCCUUUUGAAAAAAACAAGCUUUCCUGCCAAAACCGCAAAUUAAGUUUUUCCGCCCAUAUCGCAAAUUUAGUUUUCCUGUCAAAACCCUAAAAUUUAGGUUUCCCGCCAAAACAGUAAAAUCUUGUUUUCUUGCCAUAAUUGUAAAAUUAUUUUCCGCCAAAUCUGUAAAAUUGAGUUUUCCACCAAAACAUAAAAAUCUUUUUUCCGUAAAAUUGAUUUUUCUGCCAAAACCGCAACAUUGUAUUUUUCCGCCACACCUCAAAAAUCUUAUUUUCCUGACAAAACAGCAAAAUUGAGUUUUCCUGUAAAAACCGUAAAUCGUGUUUUCCAUCCAAAACUGUAAAUUGUUUUUCCCUAAAAUCUGUAAAAUUGAGAUUUCCGACAAAGCCACAAAAUGGUGUUUUCUUCUAAAACCGUAAAAUUGAGUUUUCUUGCCAAGAUCACUUAAGAAAAUAAGAAAAUCUUAUUUUCCACCAAAACCUUAUAUUUGUAUUUAUUUUCAACCCUAAAAAUAAUACUUUUUACUUAAUAACUUUUAAAAUAUAAAAUUAUUGUUCAUGGAUUAACCGUUUAAACAAUUAACUCAUUAACUUAAAUGAGUUGUAGAUUGAUCCAAUCGAUUUGUCAAAUGUAUUGGUUUAAUACAUGGCCCAUAUAAUUUCAAAAUCAUUUCGGUGUUUUGGUUCGGUUUACCCAUUUUGGAGCCAAUUAAACAUAUUUUACUUUCAUAUUUUUAAACAUAUUUUCUUUACUAAAAUCAUAAAAAAUUAUAAAUUCAUAUAAGAAUAAAAUAUACGAAUCCGGCGCAUAGCACCGGAAUACCGCUAGUAAAGAAUAUGAUAGUAUAUUAUGAAUUAGUUAAGUUUUUAAAACUAACUAGUCAAAAAUUGAUUUGAUAACGUUAGCUUCAAUUAAUGUAUAAAAAUCUAGAAAUUUUAAUGGUACAAUUCAUAAAUGACACGCCAGGUUAAAUUUGAUUCUAUAUAGUGUUUUUGUUUAAGUAGAAUAGAUUUUAUAUAUAUAUGUAUAUAAUUAUUGAUUUAAUAUUUAGAUUAGGUAUGAGUAGUAGAUCUUUUUGAAAAAGGGUUUCAACUUCCUUAUAUAAAUUUAUCUAUAUUUAUUAGAUAUGAGUUCAAAUGUACUAAAAGUGUUUUUAUCAACAAAUUUCUCUGUUCAUGCAUUUAAUCUGUUUAGAUAUUCAAUUUUAAUAUUGAUAAGGUGACAAGGAAAAAAGAAAUACGUGUCUUUCUAUUCAAAUAUUUUUUUGUUAGAUUUAGUUUUUUUUCCUUUGAGAUAUCUAUACUAUUAAAAGAGUUAUUUGUUAGAAUGGUCAUGUUGUGUACCAUAAGUAUGUGCAUACUAAAUAUUUACCUUCAUUUACAGACACUAUAAAUUAUCUCAUUUCAAGCAGUUCAUACCAUCACAUAUUUACAUAAUCUAGUAAGUACGAAAAGGACACAAAAAACCAAAAUAUGAAAGGUUUCUUUGGAGUUGUUAUGUUUCUGUUCUUAUUUAUUACGGUAUCUUUAGCCAGUCGCAAAAGUUUAACAAGUAUUGGAUCGAAGAGACUAGUUCCAGGAGGUCCAGACAAUGCGACAUCUCCAUCUAAUCCACCAGCGUUUGUAACUGAUAUUGAAAUAAAGAGGCUAGUUCCAGGAGUUCCAGAUAAUGCGACAUCUCCAUCUAAUCCACCAGCGUUUGUAGCAAAUAUUGAAAUGAAAAGAAAAGUUCCAGGAGGUCCGAACAAUCAGACAUCUCCACCUACCCCACCAUCUUUUUAGUGGAUAUAUAUUUUAAAAGUUCAAUAAAUUAAUAAUCACAAACUUUCUGUCAAUCUAAUCUAAUAUUGGUUUAAUUAUGAUUGUUUCAAAAAAAUAAAAAAUAAAAAUAAUAAGUAUUUUUUUCUAUACACUAUAUUAUUCAUUAAAAAAAAUGCUGAAUAUGAAAUAUAUAAUUUUCAAAAAAAAAAAAUCCUAAUACCAUUUUUUAGAAAGAAUCCUAAUAGCAUUUGAUUAAUUGCUUACCUGACUUUCCGAAGAAAACAUAAUAUUAAAAACACUGAAGUACACACUACUAAAAAUAUUUUUUCUGUGCGAAAAGAUCAUCACGUGAACAGACACAUCUAUUCAUUCAUGAUCCAUCAUUUAUCCUGGAGUGUUCCCAUCGCCGAUCAACAACAGUUUUCUUAGACCAUAAUAAAUGUUUGGCAGUUAUAAAGGAGUGGCUAAAUAUAGUCUGCUUUGUGCAUUUGUUUUUCUCUUGUGAUCAAAGUGUCAACAAAUACAUUCAUCUGUUUUUGUUACUCAUGGCAGACAAAUUACAAAAAGAUGCAAGAAAUUACGUUGAGUAUCAUUGAUGAAGACAUCACUUUACUCGACGAUUUAUACGAAGAUGCAUCAGAGGAGAACGGCUAGGGGUGUCAAAACAGAUACAAACUAAUGGGCCGAUCAGGACCAAUCCAAACCAUGAAUUUUAAUGGAUAGAAAAAUUGGGUACAAAUGGAUUAAUGGGUAAAUGAGUUAAUGGACUUAAAUGGUUUGGAUUGUAAUGGAUAAUGCCAAAUCAAUAAAAAUCUAUAACAAACUUAAAUUCAAAUCAAAUAUAUAUUAAAAAAAGUAACCAAACCAAAUUUCUAAACCAGUUUACUACACCAAAUUUUAUUUACUUUUCACAUAUACAACGAAAUUACAAUAACCUAAAUCUCACUUAGUUAUAAUUUUUUAAUGUUAAAACCCAAUUUCUCAUAUAUAUGUGGGGUUUUAGAAUUUAAAUCAUUUUUUUUGCCAAAUAGAUAAAAUCAAUUUUUUUGACAAAACAAAAAAUUGAUUUUUUCCAUCAAAAGCGCUAAAUCUCUUCUUUUUUUUUUUUAUCAAAAUCGUAAAAUUGUGUUUUUCACCAGAUCCACAAAAUCAUGUAUUCCUGCAAAAACUGCAAAAUCAUGUUUUUCUGUCAAAAUCGAAAAAUCGUUUUUUCUAGCCAAAACCGCAAAAUUGUGUGUUUCUCGCAAAAAUCGCAAAAUUGGGUUUUCCUGCCAAAACCACAAAAUUGAGCUUUCCCUCCAAAACUGCAAAAUUGUGCUUUCCCGCCAUGACCAUAAAAUCGAGUUUUCCCACAUAAAAUGUAAAUUGAGUUUUCUCACAAAAAACCGCAAAUUUGUGUUUGCCAGCCAAAACCGUAAAAUUGAGUAUUUCCGCAAAAUGUUUAACUGAAUGUUCCCUCCUAAACUGCAAAAUCUUUUUUUCCUGUCAAAACAAUAAAAUAAAGCUUUCCGCCUUUUGAAAAAACAAGCUUUCCUGCCAAAACCGCAAAUUAAGUUUUUCCGCCAAUAUCGCAAAUUUAGUUUUCCUGUCAAAACUCUAAAAUUUUGGUUUCCCGCCAAAACAGUAAAAUUCUGUUUUCUUGCCAUAAUUGUAAAAUUGUUUUUCCGCCAAAUCUGUAAAAUUGAGUUUUCCACCAAAACAUAAAAAUCUUGUUUCCGUAAAAUUAAUUUUUCUGCCAAAACCGCAACAUUGUAUUUUUCCGCCACACCUCAAAAAUCUUAUUUUCCUGACAAAACAGCAAAAUUGAUUUUUCCUGCCAAAACCGUAAAUCGUGUUUUCCAUCCAAAACCGUAAAUUGUUUUUCCCCAAAACCUGUAAAAUUGAGAUUUCCGACAAAGCCACAAAAUGGUGUUUUCUUCUAAAACUGUAAAAUUGAGUUUUCUUGCCAAGAUCACUUAAGAAAAUAAGAAAAUCUUAUUUUCCACCAAAACCUUAUAUUUGUAUUUAUUUUAAACCCUAAAAAUAAUACUUUUUACUUAAUAACUUUUAAAAUAUAAAAUUAUUGUCCAUGGAUUAACCGUUUAAACAAUUAACUCAUUAACUUAAAUGAGUUGUAGAUUGAUCCAAUCGAUUUGUCAAAUGUAUUGGUUUAAUACAUGGCCCAUAUAAUUUAAAAACCAUUUCGGUGUUUUGGUUCGGUUUACCCAUUUUGGAGCCAAUUAAACAUAUUUUACUUUUCAUAUUUUUAAACAUAUUUUCUUUACUAAAAUCAUAAAAAAAUCAUAAAUUUAUAUAAGAAUAAAAUAUACGAAUCCGGCGCAUAGCACCGGAAUACCGCUAAUAAAGAAUAUGAUAGUAUAUUAUGAAUUAGUUAAGUUUUUAAAACUAACUAGUCAAAAAUUGAUUUGAUAACGUUACCUUCAAUUAAUGUCUAAGAAUCUAGAAAUUUUAAUGGUACAAUUCAUAAAUGACACGCCUGGUUAAAUUUGAUUCUAUGUAGUGUUUUUGUUUAAGUAGAAUAGAUUAUAUAUAUAUAUAUAUAUAUAUGUAUAUAAUUAUUGAUUUAAUAUUUAGUUUAGGUAUGAGUAGUAGAUCUUUUUGAAAAAGGGUUUCAACUUCCUUAUAUAAAUUUAUCUAUAUUUAUUAUAUAUGAGUUCAAAUGUACUAAAACUGUUUUUAUUAAAAAAUUUCUCUGUUCAUGCAUUUAAUCUGUUUAGAUAUUUAAUUUUAAUAUUGAUAAGGUGACACAGAAAAAAGAAAUACGUGUCUUUCUAUUCAAAGAUUUUUUUGUUAGAUUUAGUUUUUUUCCUUUGAGAUAUCUAUACUAUUAAAAGAGUUAUUUGUUAGAAUGGUCUUGUUGUGUACCAUAAGUAUGUGCAUACUAAAUAUUUACCUUCAUUAACAGAUACUAUAAAUUAUCUCAUUUCAAGCAGUUCAUACCAUCACAUAUUUACAUAAUCUAGUAAGUACGAAAAGGACACAAAAAACCAAAAUAUGAAAGGUAUCUUUGGAGUUGUUAUGUUUCUGUUCUUAUUUAUUACGGUAUCUUUAGCCAGUCGCAAAAGUUUAACAAGUAUUGGAUCGAAGAGACUAGUUCCAGGAGGUCCAGACAAUGCGACAUCUCCAUCUAAUCCACCAGCGUUUGUAACUGAUAUUGAAAUAAAGAGACUAGUUCCAGGAGGUCCAGAUAAUACGACAUCUCCAUCUAAUCCACCAGCGUUUGUAGCAAAUAUUGAAAUGAAAAGAAAAGUUCCAGGAGGUCCGAACAAUCAGACAUCUCCACCUACCCCACCAUCUUUUUAGUGGAUAUAUAUUUUAAAAGUUCAAUAAAUUAAUAAUCAGAAACUUUCUGUCAAUCUAAUCUAAUAUUGGUUUAGUUAUGAUUGUUUCAAAAAAAUAAAAAAUAAAAAUAAUAAGUAUUUUUUC